UGAAAAUUUAUAAAUCGUCCAAAACUUAUUCGAAACUAUAUUCAAUCUAAAUACAUUGUUUUGCAUAUUGAAUUGACGAGACAAGAAGAAGCUACGAAACGAAGAGGAACGUGUUGUUUUUUUUUUAUUUUCUACAUCGACGUGAUCGUCGAGUAAAAUAUAUAAACCAGCUGCUCCGAGGUCUCGCUCGAACGAUUUCGAGGGUCAAGUCGCGAACUACAAAUCCAAGAGCCCCCCAUAAAAGAGUAAUCUAAACAAAAAAAAAAGAAGAAACAUAGAGAAGAGGAAGAAGAAUAAAAA
RNAcentral lists this long non-coding RNA (300 nucleotides) under Polistes fuscatus (common paper wasp). Its description in RNAcentral is "uncharacterized LOC122520629". The record is from RNAcentral. Lineage: Eukaryota; Metazoa; Arthropoda; Insecta; Hymenoptera; Vespidae.